UGGACUAUGAUGAGGGUGAGGUGGGA
This 26-nucleotide non-coding RNA is filed under the name Rattus norvegicus (Norway rat). The record is from RNAcentral. Lineage: Eukaryota; Metazoa; Chordata; Mammalia; Rodentia; Muridae.